This 460-nucleotide ribosomal RNA is filed under the name uncultured bacterium. Its description in RNAcentral is "partial 16S ribosomal RNA". It matches the Rfam family "Bacterial small subunit ribosomal RNA", at positions 338 to 795 of the family's 1533-position model. The record is from RNAcentral.
CCUACGGGAGGCAGCAGUGAGGAAUAUUGGUCAAUGGACGAGAGUCUGAACCAGCCAAGUAGCGUGAAGGAUGACUGCCCUAUGGGUUGUAAACUUCUUUUAUAUGGGAAUAAAAUGUUCCACGUGUGGGAUUUUGUAGGUACCAUAUGAAUAAGGAUCGGCUAACUCCGUGCCAGCCGCCGCGGUAAUACGGAGGAUCCGAGCGUUAUCCGGAUUUAUUGGGUUUAAAGGGAGCGUAGGUGGAUUGUUAAGGCAGUUGUGAAAGUUUGCGGCUCAACCGUAAAAUUGCAGUUGAAACUGGCAGUCUUGAGUACAGUAGAGGUGGGCGGAAUUCGUGGUGUAGCGGUGAAAUGCUUAGAUAUCACGAAGAACUCCGAUUGCGAAGGCAGCUCACUGGACUGCAACUGACACUGAGGCUCGAAAGUGUGGGUAUCAAACAGGAUUAGAUACCCGGGUAGUC